This is a non-coding RNA of Triticum urartu, 3855 nucleotides long. The record is from RefSeq and is a predicted model, not a curated record. Lineage: Eukaryota; Viridiplantae; Streptophyta; Magnoliopsida; Poales; Poaceae.
CUCGAGCGAGAAACAGUCGCACGCACGACUCUCUGCCCUCGCUCGCCCGCCGCUGCCCUUCGUCCCUUCACCGCCACCGCUCCAUCCCUUCGCCGCCGCCCUCCCACAUCAAAGCCGGCGCCGCUCCAUCCCUUCGCCACCGCCUCUGGAUCUUCUGCCUAGGGUUCCCCGCCGCCGCUACCCCUCCCUCGAGCGUGGGCGGCCACCGGCGAAGGAUGCCCGCUCCCCCUCCUCUCCGGCCACACCGGUCUCCCCCUAACCACAAAGUGGGCGCACGCGGUGCGGGCUCCGGCGAACGCGGCCGCACGCGAUCCAGAGGCCCGACGGCGCCCACAUCCCUCGCCUCUCUGGUCACACGUCGCCUCCCUAACCACGAAGUGGGCGCACGCGGGGUGGGAUCCGGCGAACGCGGCCGCGCGCGAUCCAGCGGCCUGGCGGCGCCCGCAUCCCUCUCCUCUCCGAUUGCAUGUCUCUUCCCUUCCUACAAAGUGGGUGCACGCAGGGCGGCCACUCCGCCAACCGACUCCAGGAGCUCUGCGUUCGCAACGGCAACAUCUACAUCAAGCUCGGCCAGCACAUCGCACAACUGGUACGGAAAGGAAUUCCUAACUCUGUGAGGAUACGCCUGAAUUCACUUUGGAUUCAUCUGUGGUAAGAUUGCAUAAUUUUGUGGCUGUGGAACAGCUGCUUGUUUGCUUGUACUACCACAGGUGUAUGUGCAGACGAUGAGGGCGUCGAUGCUCAAGAGGUCGUCCGCGGAGUCAUCAAGAAAGAGAAUGGAUAAUUGCCACAAACCGUUCAACACGACCACUUGGUGGUUACUUCUGUAAUAGAUAUCACCACUGUGGAUUUAGUAGUGAAUUUUCUUCAUUAUAUUUUCCCUAAUUUUGACUACAGGUAAAACCAGUCAAUGGGUGCAACUGUUCUUUGUCUAUUACCUUGUUCUCUCUCUCCCUCUUUUUAACAUACCACCUCGAAAGCUUUUAGACUUAUGCUAAUUUUUAGAAUUAGUUAUGAUAGAGAGAAGGACUCUGAUCUGCAUGCUUUGACUGAUGGCAUCUUACCGAAAAAUGGCAGGCAAGUAUGUUAAUUGGGUUGAUGUGGAGCUAGAGAAACUUGAGAGGACAUAGGAGGUGUUAUUGGGAAGUGUGCUAAAUUGUGUUUUUUAGGAAGACAAUCAUCUUAUACUAAAACGGAAAGACUAAGCUCAAUUCCAUGUUUGAAGUCUUGUAUACAUAAUGCUCUAAUUCAUACUGGACUGCUAUUCCUGACAUGGCAAUGGUUUCAGGGUAUUAUUUGAGCUGAUAUGGAGGGACUACUUCAGAUUUCAUCCAGCAAAAUAUGAGAACUCUAUUUUCUUACUAGUUCAUACCCACUAUGUUCGUGUCUUCACCACUUCGUCCUCCAGCACAAACGCCAGAAUGGGGCAAAAGCUGUGAUUUGCCAUGUCGGUAAACUGAUCCAGCUCGCAGCCAUGGGGUGCUAUGUCCGCGCCGGAGAACUGAUACAGCUCGCUGCCAGGGUGCCAUCCCUCUUCUGGCGUGCCAUAAAGCCCCUCGAUCGAAUCCCUGACUCAGCAAAUCAAAAUUGCCAACCCAGCAAAUCUCGUCGGAACAUCAUCUAGCUUGCCGUGCUCCACUCACUGUAAGUUUGUGUCAGUUUACAUGGCACUUAUCUCAUCUGGCUCACAGACACCUUCAGUGGACCUUUGCCACUGCUAACAGUCUGUAUUGUACACUCCGGGACCAAGGCGAUCGACAUUUUCUUGACUGGUCGAUGGUGAUUGCUCCCAUGUCUGUUUUUUUGUUCUUUACAGAAUUUGGUUCUAUAAUAUCAUCAUUUAGUGAAUUUUACCUACCCACACAAACAUGAUAUGACAUGCUAUUGCCUGUUCUCUAAGGUAAUGUAUAAAUUUGUUGCUUAGUUAGGAAGCGGCUGAAUCGUGUUGGAUUUGCAGCGAGAGGAAGCCUGUCAACAUGAUGAACAGGGUAGUUUUUACUGAGGGUAUCUCGGCAAGGAAGAGACCGGAUGUUUGUCAUUGACCUACUUUGAAAACGAAGGCUAAAACCGCAGUGGCAGACAUGCUUACAAAAUCUCGUGAAGAUCGUUCUGCUGAUGAUGGUACUCUAACAGAAUAAGAACAGUGGGAAAGAGAGCAAGCCAGCCUUGUUCGUUAUUGAGAGGGGGAAGUUGAAAUCUUGCCAGAUAAAGGGCGUUAAGUGGCUAAUAUCACAGUGGCAAAAUGGGCUUAAUGGAUACUGGGUGAUCAAAUGGGCCUUGGAGAAACAAUUUAGACAAUUGCAUUUCUUGCUCAUCUUAAAGGGAAUGGUCUGUAUGGUCCAUACAUGGUUAUUGCUCUUCCUUCCACCCUGUCAAACUGGUUGAACGACUCAAUGAGGUUUGCUCCUUCUCUAAAUGGUCUGAUUUAUCAUGGAGAUAAAGUGGCUCGGACAGAGCUAACGAGAAACUACAUGCCCAAAACUGUUGGUCCUGGUUUUCCGAUAAUAAUCACUUCAUAUCUGAUGGCCAUGUUUGAUGCAAAGUUUCUUGCUAAUUAUAAGUGGAAGUCACAUGAUCUGAAUUAUUGCCCUUGUAAGCAAAAACUCAACAUUUUAUUCCUUUCUCUUGAGUGCAUUCCUCAUUAUUUAAUUAUCGAUGUCCAUAUGCUAGCUUCAUGUUUCAGUCAUAAUUCCUUUCUCUGCGAGGGAAUUUAUGGCCAGGUGCGCUCAUAUACUUCUAUCUUCUAAACAUGCUUUCAUAUGAAUGAGCUGAAGUCAUUUCCUAGAAACUAUGGUGCUUUUACUUUUUAUUUAGGUUGCUUGACCAAGGUUGUUCAGUGAUUGUGUGCACUCCACAUGCAUCGCCAUUUAUUGAGUAAGAAAAACAUGAUAUUUUUCUGAUUAUUUUCACAAGUUAUCAAAAUGCAUUAUUUUACCGACCAUCACAAGUUAACGAAAUGCAUUAUUUUACCGUUUAAAUGAUGCUAAUUGCCUAGGGUCGAUAGUGUAGAAAAAUAGAAUAAUUUUCUACUUAUUUAUCUUGUUACGGUAGUUUUUGUAUAUAAGAAACUACAAAGAUAUAACCAAACCAACUUUCUUUAUCAAAAUUCAUCUAAUAGAGGACCCUAUUGUGUGACAACAUUGAGACACAACAUGGAGCAUUGCAACUGUCACAAUGACAUUGGAGGCAAGGGAAUAUUUUAACUCGGUGUUAAAAAUAUGAAAGGGAAAAAAGAGACGACAUCACAUAUUAUGACCAUGGUAUGUGUAUUGUAGAUUUUUAGAAAUGCAUGGCCAAUAUGUUGUUAUGUCUUGACUUGUCCUUAUGAUUGAGUGCUUGUCAGGAAAUUGCUACGGGACAUAGCUCGGCAAGAAAUGAAUUUUAUUAUGUUGUUGUCAUCAGAUGGUACCUCGGUGAGUAAGUUGAUGAUAGCCUUCUAAUCAUGGGUGUCAAGUCCAAUCAAAUCUGGUUGAGGGCCAUCUUAUUGUGCUCAGAUAUGGAAAGAAUCCGCAGCCGCUCCGUUGCCACUAUUGCUGUCGGCACUUGAUGCAGAGGGGUGAAUGAAAGGAGAAUGUGAAUAAGGAAGAGUGCACGGCAAAGGAGUGGUCCAUACCUUUUUUUUAUCACAAUGAGGGAGUUAACCCACACUAGAUCCAUGAUCUGCUGAAUGGCGGUUGUCUGGUUUGAGCUGAUAGACAGUUGCCAUGGAGAGCGAGGCGGUGUGGGGCACCUCGUGGAUGACCUUGUCUAUGCUUCAUAACCAAAACAUAAUCUUCUUUUGGUUAUUUUAUUUUCUCUGGGAUUUGUCCCCUUAUGCUUCUCUUAUUGCCUCAAUAAAGUUUGGUGUUAUGGCAA